RNAcentral lists this ribosomal RNA (560 nucleotides) under Pseudomonas taiwanensis. RNAcentral's name for it is "bacterial SSU rRNA". It matches the Rfam family "Bacterial small subunit ribosomal RNA", at positions 71 to 627 of the family's 1533-position model. Lineage: Bacteria; Pseudomonadati; Pseudomonadota; Gammaproteobacteria; Pseudomonadales; Pseudomonadaceae. The record is from RNAcentral.
GAGAAGAGCUUGCUCUUCGAUUCAGCGGCGGACGGGUGAGUAAUGCCUAGGAAUCUGCCUGGUAGUGGGGGACAACGUUUCGAAAGGAACGCUAAUACCGCAUACGUCCUACGGGAGAAAGCAGGGGACCUUCGGGCCUUGCGCUAUCAGAUGAGCCUAGGUCGGAUUAGCUAGUUGGUGAGGUAAUGGCUCACCAAGGCGACGAUCCGUAACUGGUCUGAGAGGAUGAUCAGUCACACUGGAACUGAGACACGGUCCAGACUCCUACGGGAGGCAGCAGUGGGGAAUAUUGGACAAUGGGCGAAAGCCUGAUCCAGCCAUGCCGCGUGUGUGAAGAAGGUCUUCGGAUUGUAAAGCACUUUAAGUUGGGAGGAAGGGCAGUAAGUUAAUACCUUGCUGUUUUGACGUUACCAACAGAAUAAGCACCGGCUAACUCUGUGCCAGCAGCCGCGGUAAUACAGAGGGUGCAAGCGUUAAUCGGAAUUACUGGGCGUAAAGCGCGCGUAGGUGGUUCGUUAAGUUGGAUGUGAAAUCCCCGGGCUCAACCUGGGAACUGCAUC